GGUCAAGCGAACAAGUGCAUGUGGUGGAUGCCUUGGCGAUCACAGGCGAUGAAGGACGCGGUAGCCUGCGAAAAGCUACGGGGAGCUGGCAAACGAGCUUUGAUCCGUAGAUGUCCGAAUGGGGAAACCCGGCCCUUUUGGGUCAUCCUGGACUGAAUACAUAGGUCCAGUGAAGCGAACGCGGUGAACUGAAACAUCUAAGUAACCGCAGGAAAAGAAAUCAACCGAGAUUCCCAAAGUAGUGGCGAGCGAAAUGGGAUGAGCCUUGCACUCUUUAUUUGUAUUGUUAGCCGAACGCUCUGGAAAGUGCGGCCAUAGCAGGUGAUAGCCCUGUAGGCGAAAACAGUAUGAAAGAACUAGGUGUGCGACAAGUAGGGCGGGACACGUGAAAUCCUGUCUGAAGAUGGGGGGACCAUCCUCCAAGGCUAAAUACUCGUGAUCGACCGAUAGUGAACCAGUACCGUGAGGGAAAGGCGAAAAGAACCCCGGGAGGGGAGUGAAAUAGAUCCUGAAACCGCAUGCAUACAAACAGUCGGAGCCUCGUAAGGGGUGACGGCGUACCUUUUGUAUAAUGGGUCAGCGACUUACGUUCAGUAGCAAGCUUAACCGUAUAGGGCAGGCGUAGCGAAAGCGAGUCCGAAUAGGGCGUUCAGUUGCUGGGCGUAGACCCGAAACCAGGUGAUCUAUCCAUGGCCAGGAUGAAGGUGCGGUAACACGUACUGGAGGUCCGAACCCACUAACGUUGAAAAGUUAGGGGAUGAGCUGUGGAUAGGGGUGAAAGGCUAAACAAACCUGGAAAUAGCUGGUUCUCUCCGAAAACUAUUUAGGUAGUGCCUCGUGUCUCACCUUCGGGGGUAGAGCACUGUCAUGGUUGGGGGGUCUAUUGCAGAUUACCCCGCCAUAGCAAACUCCGAAUACCGAAGAGUGCAAUCACGGGAGACAGACAUCGGGUGCUAACGUCCGGUGUCAAGAGGGAAACAACCCAGACCGCCAGCUAAGGUCCCCAAAUAUAGCUAAGUGGGAAACGAAGUGGGAAGGCUAAAACAGUCAGGAGGUUGGCUUAGAAGCAGCCACCCUUUAAAGAAAGCGUAAUAGCUCACUGAUCGAGUCGUCCUGCGCGGAAGAUGUAACGGGGCUAAGCUAUAUACCGAAGCUGCGGAUGCGAGCUUUGCUCGCAUGGUAGGAGAGCGUUCCGUAAGCCUGCGAAGGUGCCUUGUAAAGGGUGCUGGAGGUAUCGGAAGUGCGAAUGCUGACAUGAGUAGCGAUAAAGGGGGUGAAAGGCCCCCUCGCCGUAAGCCCAAGGUUUCCUACGCAACGUUCAUCGGCGUAGGGUGAGUCGGCCCCUAAGGCGAGGCAGAAAUGCGUAGCUGAUGGGAAGCAGGUCAAUAUUCCUGCACCAUUGUUAGAUGCGAUGGGGGGACGGAUCGCGGAAGGUUGUCCGGGUGUUGGAAGUCCCGGUCGCUGCAUUGGAGAAGGCGCUUAGGCAAAUCCGGGCGCGUAAUUCAAGGGUGUGGCGCGAGCUCCUUAGGGAGCGAAGCAAUUGGAAGUGGUUCCAAGAAAAGCCUCUAAGCUUCAGUCUAACGAUGACCGUACCGCAAACCGACACAGGUGGGCGAGAUGAGUAUUCUAAGGCGCUUGAGAGAACUCGGGAGAAGGAACUCGGCAAAUUGGUACCGUAACUUCGGGAUAAGGUACGCCCUUGUAGCUUGACUGGCCUGCGCCAGGAGGGUGAAGGGGUUGCAAUAAACUGGUGGCUGCGACUGUUUAAUAAAAACACAGCACUCUGCAAACACGAAAGUGGACGUAUAGGGUGUGACGCCUGCCCGGUGCCGGAAGAUUAAAUGAUGGGGUGCAAGCUCUUGAUUGAAGUCCCGGUAAACGGCGGCCGUAACUAUAACGGUCCUAAGGUAGCGAAAUUCCUUGUCGGGUAAGUUCCGACCUGCACGAAUGGCGUAACGAUGGCCACACUGUCUCCUCCCGAGACUCAGCGAAGUUGAAGUGUUUGUGAUGAUGCAAUCUACCCGCGGCUAGACGGAAAGACCCCAUGAACCUUUACUGUAGCUUUGCAUUGGACUUUGAACCGAUCUGUGUAGGAUAGGUGGGAGGCUAUGAAACCGGAACGCUAGUUUCGGUGGAGCCGUCCUUGAAAUACCACCCUGGUUUGUUUGAGGUUCUAACCUUGGCCCGUGAUCCGGGUCGGGGACAGUGCAUGGUAGGCAGUUUGACUGGGGCGGUCUCCUCCCAAAGCGUAACGGAGGAGUACGAAGGUACGCUAGGUACGGUCGGAAAUCGUGCUGAUAGUGCAAUGGCAUAAGCGUGCUUAACUGCGAGACCGACAAGUCGAGCAGGUGCGAAAGCAGGUCAUAGUGAUCCGGUGGUUCUGUAUGGAAGGGCCAUCGCUCAACGGAUAAAAGGUACUCUGGGGAUAACAGGCUGAUACCGCCCAAGAGUUCAUAUCGACGGCGGUGUUUGGCACCUCGAUGUCGGCUCAUCUCAUCCUGGGGCUGUAGCCGGUCCCAAGGGUAUGGCUGUUCGCCAUUUAAAGAGGUACGUGAGCUGGGUUUAAAACGUCGUGAGACAGUUUGGUCCCUAUCUGCCGUGGGCGUUGGAUAUUUGAAGGGGGCUGCUCCUAGUACGAGAGGACCGGAGUGGACGAACCUCUGGUGUACCGGUUGUCACGCCAGUGGCAUCGCCGGGUAGCUAUGUUCGGAAGAGAUAACCGCUGAAAGCAUCUAAGCGGGAAACUCGCCUUAAGAUGAGAUAUCCCUGGAGGCUAGACCUCCUUGAAGGGUCGUUCGAGACCAGGACGUUGAUAGGUCAGGUGUGUAAGCGCAGUAAUGCGUUCAGCUAACUGAUACUAAUUGCCCGUAAGGCUUGAUCCU
RNAcentral lists this ribosomal RNA (2882 nucleotides) under Burkholderia sp. CpTa8-5. Its description in RNAcentral is "23S ribosomal RNA". It matches the Rfam family "Bacterial large subunit ribosomal RNA". The record is from RNAcentral. RNAcentral also lists the same sequence under 1 other name. Lineage: Bacteria; Pseudomonadati; Pseudomonadota; Betaproteobacteria; Burkholderiales; Burkholderiaceae.